This 506-nucleotide ribosomal RNA is filed under the name uncultured bacterium. Its description in RNAcentral is "partial 16S ribosomal RNA". It matches the Rfam family "Bacterial small subunit ribosomal RNA", at positions 28 to 523 of the family's 1533-position model. The record is from RNAcentral.
GAUGAACGCUGGCGGCGUGCCUUAAGCAUGCAAGUCGAACGAUGAGACUUUUGUAGCAAUACUAGGGUCGAUUAGUGGCGGACGAGUGAGUAUAAGCAAGGAACGUACCCAGUCGUGGGGGAUAACGUAGCGAAAGUUACGCUAAUACCGCAUACGUCCUGAGGGAGAAAGCGGGGGAUCUUCGGACCUCGCGCGAUUGGAGCGGCCGAUGUCAGAUUAGCUAGUUGGUGAGGUAAAGGCUCACCAAGGCGACGAUCUGUAGCGGGUCUGAGAGGAUGAUCCGCCACACUGGGACUGAGAAACGGCCCAGACUCCUACGGGAGGCAGCAGUGGGGAAUUUUGGACAAUGGGCGAAAGCCUGAUCCAGCCAUGCCGCGUGAGUGAAGAAGGCCUUCGGGUUGUAAAGCUCUUUCGGACGGGAAGAAAUCUUCUGGGCUAAUACCCCGGGAGGAUGACGGUACCGUAAGAAGAAGCACCGGCUAACUACGUGCCAGCAGCCGCGGUAA